UUCCUAAUAGCUCAGUUGGUAGAGCGUGCGGCUGUUAACCUCAAAGGUCGCUGGUUCAAACCCAGCUGGGAGAG
Molecule: transfer RNA, 74 nt
Filed under: Phytophthora infestans T30-4
Lineage: Eukaryota; Oomycota; Peronosporomycetes; Peronosporales; Peronosporaceae
Rfam family: tRNA
About the family: Transfer RNA (tRNA) molecules are approximately 80 nucleotides in length. Their secondary structure includes four short double-helical elements and three loops (D, anti-codon, and T loops).
Source: Rfam by way of RNAcentral